UAGAACGCUAGCGGCAGGCUUAACACAUGCAAGUCGAGGGGCGAUCACGGGUAGCAAUACCUGGUGGCGACCGGCGCAAGGGUGCGUAACGCGUGAGCAACAUGCCCUAUACAGGGGGAUAAUCCAGGGAAACUUGGUCUAAUAUCCCAUAGCAUUUAGAGGUGGCAUCACCAUUAAAUUAAAGCUUCGGUGGUAUAGGAUUGGCUCGCGUGACAUUAGCUAGAUGGUGGGGUAACGGCUCACCAUGGCUAUGAUGUCUAGGGGUUCUGAGAGGAAGACCCCCCCACACUGGGACUGAGACACGGCCCAGACUCCUACGGGAGGCAGCAGUGAGGAAUAUUGGACAAUGGAUGGAAAUCUGAUCCAGCCAUGCCGCGUGCAGGAAGACGGCCCUAUGGGUUGUAAACUGCUUUUAUAUGGGAGCAAUAAGGUCUACGAGUAGACCGAUGAGAGUACCAUAUGAAUAAGCAUCGGCUAACUCCGUG
This 485-nucleotide ribosomal RNA is filed under the name uncultured bacterium. Its description in RNAcentral is "bacterial SSU rRNA". It matches the Rfam family "Bacterial small subunit ribosomal RNA", at positions 31 to 507 of the family's 1533-position model. The record is from RNAcentral.